Molecule: ribosomal RNA, 425 nt
Filed under: uncultured prokaryote
Description: bacterial SSU rRNA
Rfam family: Bacterial small subunit ribosomal RNA
Source: RNAcentral
UCUAGAGGCUUCGGCAAUGGGGGCAACCCUGACCGAGCGACGCCGCGUGUGGGAUUGAAGGCCUUCGGGUCGUAAACCACUGUCAUUGGGGAAGAAUGCCUGGAUGGCGAAUCCAGGAGGGACGGUACCCAAGAAGGAAGCCCCGGCUAACUCCGUGCCAGCAGCCGCGGUAAUACGGAGGGGGCAAGCGUUGUUCGGAUUUACUGGGCGUAAAGGGUGUGUAGGCGGCCGCGCAAGUCUGGUGUGAAAUCUUCACCGCUUAACGGGAAGAGGUCACUGGAAACUGCGUGGCUCGAGUAUGGUAGAGGCAAGCGGAAUUCCUGGUGUAGCGGUGGAAUGUGUAGAUAUCAGGAAGAACACCGGUGGCGAAGGCGGCUUGCUGGGCCAUCACUGACGCUGAGACACGAAAGCGUGGGGAGCAAACG